GGAUGAACUCACCGAGGAAGUGAUUUACGGGGAGAAGAAUGCAGAAAGCGGCAGGCUAGAGCAUGAGGCUAGUGUGGAGGGGAAGACCACAGUUCCAAGGAGGAAGAGGAUCCCCACCACAGUGAGUGAUCGGUGGACACUGAAACGGAAGGAUGACUGGGAGGAUGAGCUGCGAUGGAAGCCAUGUAUGACGAUCUCUGGGUCCAUCCAUGUUGCUGCAAAUGGCAUGAUUUCGUUCUUUUUUAUGGCUGAGUACACAUAGCUGAUUCUAAGAAGAUGAUGGUCAGUGGUGGUUUGAUGGAUGGUGCAUAGAUAACCUCUUGGAGACCCAUCCACUGUCCACCUCACCACCAGCAGGUGAACCCUGUGCGUCCUCUUGCUCUUUCAGAGACUCUUAAGGUUGCUGCUGCUGCUGCUGCUGCUGCUAAGUCACUUCAGUCGUGUCCGACUCUGUGCGACCCCAUAGACCGCAACCUACCAGGCUCCCCCGUCCCUGGGAUUUUCCAGGCAAGAACACUGGAGUGGGUUGCCAUUUCCCUCUCCAGUGCAUGAAAGUGAAAAGUGAAAGCGAAGCCGCUCAGUCGUGUCCAACCCUCAGCAACCCCAUGGACUGCAGCCUUCCGGGCUCCUAUUGAGGUGAAUUUUUGGAAACAGUUCAUAUGGAAGACGAGGAUCUGGAAAUGAGUUCCCUUGAAACCAUCUGUACAGACAUGGCCCGUGGAACAUCCUUCUGUCCUCUCCCUGUUUGGAAGCUUCCACCCAGAGGUUCAGGGCCCAGGAGCUCUGUCUGAGAGAGCGCUAAGGGCAGAGGGUUUUCUUGGACCUGUUUUGUGUGCAAAGCACGUAUAAGUCAAAGCCUUUUUCCGCAAGUGAGGUUGGUUAAGCAGAGAAAAGACAGCGAGGUGUUUUGUUUGUCUGGAAUCCUAUGGGCUUGGAGGCACAAUCUGGUGUACAGCAGGCCAGAGGGUCUGGAGUUAGCUGUGAUAUCAGGUGUUCUAGAGAGACUCUUUUGGGUCUUUGGUGGCCAUUACCCUCUAAGCAUAGCUUCACAUGAUAGGAUGAAGUUUCUUUGCACUAACAGUGUCAGGAGCUGGAACUGGAGUUACAAGUCUAGUUUAAAGAGCUAUCCAAAGGUUUCCAUUUCUACUGGCUUGAGGGCAAAAGAGGUUGUUGGGGGGCUUGCCUUUGGCCUCUGAGCCCAAGGGAUUCCAAAUGAAUGCUCUGCAAAGGUAAGCCUGUAUCAUUCAGCUUUGUGCAUUCAUCCCCAUAGCUUGUGCAAGGCAGACAGUGUUCAAUAAAGAAAUAUUGUACCUGAGAAUAAAAUGGCAUUGUCCUUU
Molecule: long non-coding RNA, 1337 nt
Organism: Bos taurus (domestic cattle)
Lineage: Eukaryota; Metazoa; Chordata; Mammalia; Artiodactyla; Bovidae
Source: Ensembl